GAUAAAAUGGCUGAGUAUGAGGCAAUAAACUGUAAAUUUAUUUAGGAAUUAUUAUAAAAUUCUUUUAUCA
RNAcentral lists this transfer RNA (70 nucleotides) under Vietnamella dabieshanensis. RNAcentral's name for it is "tRNA-Tyr". The record is from RNAcentral. RNAcentral also lists the same sequence under 1 other name. Lineage: Eukaryota; Metazoa; Arthropoda; Insecta; Ephemeroptera; Ephemerellidae.